CUUCUGUCAUCACCUGCUAUUGCCAGCCAAUCCAAGCAGCAGAGCCUUCCAACUGACUGGCAGGUGACUGUAUUCACGUAAGUGAUCUUCGUUGAGACCAAUAGAACAACCCAUCUGAGACCACUUCAAAUUGUGAAGAACGUGAGCUAAAUAAAUGGCUGUUUCAAGCCACUAGGUUUUGGGGUUGUUACAAAGCAAUAGUUUCUGAGUCUGGAAUUCUGGAACAGCCUGAGUGGAUGGUUCUGGCUCAGGUCCUCUCAUAAGGUUAUGUAGACCAAGACUUCAGUCGUCCCAAGACUCAACCAAGGCUGAAGAAUCAGCAUCUAAGUUCACUCAAGUUCUUACUGAGACCUUUUGGAUCAACUGCAUGUCCUUCAUAAUUUUGUAGAACGCGGAAGGAGGACAUCUAAUACAAUUUUCUGUUGACAUCUCUGUCCAAUACUUAGAGAUGAAGAAAAUGAGCAUUUGAAAGAACAUGAAGCAUUUCAAAAUCUACAUGGUGGUUAAAAGAAAAGAUGGGUCCUUCAACAUUAUUGGAGAAUUCACUGAAGUAAGACAUGACAGUGCUGGGAGAAUUAAGACAUAUGCACAUCUGCUACUCAUGAUUCUUAACUGUUCAGGAAGGCAAGAGAAGUGUCUUCUUUGUGCUUCAAACCUCACCUUUAAUAAAACCUGAGAAAAUCUAUGGAUAUCCCAUAACGACAAGAGAAAGAGAAAGAGAUGAGGAAAAGGAAGAAAAUAGAAGGCAAUGUCAAAGACAAAUCAGUAAGGAGAUUGAUUUUAUUCAGGCUAUUGAAAUAGAGACAUCCAAACACCAGUGUCUAAACUGUGGAGUUUUACCCUAGACUUUUAAAGGGAGGAGUAAAGUUCAAGGUAGAGUGAUCUACACUUGGUUUUUUGUUUGCUUUUCUUUUCAAUCAAGAAAGUCUCAGUCAGUUAGCUAAAAUGGAAAUGUUUAUCCUUGUGUCUAGCUAGUUUCGCAGGGGACAAACAGUUCUAAUUUCAGCUAAUCAUUCAUGAGACAAGGAAUGGGAAGGAGGAGGGUCUAUGUCUAGUUUAGUCAGCAGGUUCAGGCAAAAGGGGAAAAAGUCUGUUUGGGACCUGUCACAGGUACACAAGGGAGUCAUCUGCAAAUCUUAGAGGGGUCAUGAGAAAGGAUAGCUGGAAGGUCUUAUCUAACUCACAUGAGUAGUUAAGGUAAACUUUUUCCAAUAACACGAAAAGGGUGAUUCUGGAUAACAAAACCUUGGGGAGAUCUCUUAACCAUCAUUGUUUUCCAGAGCUCAGGUACAGUUCACCAGU
Molecule: long non-coding RNA, 1302 nt
Organism: Leopardus geoffroyi (Geoffroy's cat)
Lineage: Eukaryota; Metazoa; Chordata; Mammalia; Carnivora; Felidae
Exons: 7
Source: RefSeq, a predicted model, not a curated record